Molecule: ribosomal RNA, 253 nt
Filed under: uncultured bacterium
Lineage: Bacteria
Description: partial 16S ribosomal RNA
Rfam family: Bacterial small subunit ribosomal RNA
Source: RNAcentral
UACAGAGGGGGCAAGCGUUAUUCGGAAUUAUUGGGCGUAAAGGGCGCGUAGGCGGCCUGGCAAGUGGAAGGUGAAAUCCCUCGGCUUAACCGAGGAACUGCCUCCCAAACUGCUUGGCUUGAGACCGGGAGAGGUGAGUGGAAUUCCCAGUGUAGCGGUGAAAUGCGUAGAUAUCUAGAGGAACGCCAGAGGCGAAAGCGGGGCACUGGGCCGAAUCUGACGCUGAUACGCGAAAGCGUGGGGAGCAAACAGG